CAGCAUGGGACCUCACCUAGGUUAGCCUGGUAAUGUCUCUGUGUCUCUUUCAUGUAUUUUCUGAGUUGAGUUUUUAUGUGGCCAGCACACUAAGAUUCUAGCUGUCCCAUCACUGUCUUCCCUUCACUUCCAGCAGUACAACAUUUGCAGUGUUUCUUUCUCCAUUUACAUCGAUGAUGCAGGGUAGAAAAGUGUCCGAGGAGCCUGGGAGCAGUGUUCUUGGAUGGGAUCAUCAAAUCAUCAAUUCUACUCAAGGAACAUAAAACCCGUAAUUCUGAACUGGCAACGGUGGGAUGUUGGCAUCGCGGACCGAAUGUCCAGCUCAUCGCAUUCAGCUCAGAUACAUAGGCCACAGAGGACCUAUGGAACUUGAUGUUGUAAGCAGAAAAUGUCACAGCACUCCAGCCAACCGCAUGUCAAGCCAUCAGACGAGUGCUCGCAAUGCAAAUACUCCCCCAUAUACCUCUAAAAAUUAGUAACGGCUUGUCAAUAAA
This is a long non-coding RNA of Conger conger (European conger), 494 nucleotides long. RefSeq lists it as uncharacterized. NCBI's taxonomy places the organism in Eukaryota, Metazoa, Chordata, Actinopteri, Anguilliformes, Congridae. The transcript is spliced from 3 exons. The record is from RefSeq and is a predicted model, not a curated record.